UCCCUGGUGGUCCAGUGGCUAAGACUUUGUGCUCCCAAUGCAAAGGGCUGGGUUCAAUCCCUGGUCAGGGAA
Molecule: transfer RNA, 72 nt
Filed under: Bos taurus (domestic cattle)
Lineage: Eukaryota; Metazoa; Chordata; Mammalia; Artiodactyla; Bovidae
Also listed under: 2 other names
Rfam family: tRNA
About the family: Transfer RNA (tRNA) molecules are approximately 80 nucleotides in length. Their secondary structure includes four short double-helical elements and three loops (D, anti-codon, and T loops).
Source: Rfam by way of RNAcentral